UGGGGAAUAUUGCACAAUGGGGGAAACCCUGAUGCAGCGACGCCGCGUGAACGAAGAAGGUAUUUGUAUCGUAAAGUUCUGUCCUAUGGGAAGAUAAUGACAGUACCAUAGAAGAAAGCUCCGGCUACAUACGUGCCAGCAGCCGCGGUAAUACGUAUGGAGCGAGCGUUGUCCGGAAUUAUUGGGCGUAAAGGGUACGCAGGCGGUUUAAUAAGUCGAAUGUUAAAGAUCGGGGCUCAACCCCGCAAAGCAGUGGAAACUGAUAAACUGGAGUAGUGGAGAGGAAAGUGGAAUUCCUAGUGUAGUGGUGAAAUACGUAGAUAUUAGGAGGAAUACCAGUAGCGAAGGCGACUUUCUGGACACAAACUGACGCUGAGGUACGAAAGCGUGGGGAGCAAACAGG
RNAcentral lists this ribosomal RNA (403 nucleotides) under bacterium. Its description in RNAcentral is "partial 16S ribosomal RNA". It matches the Rfam family "Bacterial small subunit ribosomal RNA", at positions 355 to 776 of the family's 1533-position model. The record is from RNAcentral.